UCGCAGAUCAGAAUGCUGCGGUGAAUACGUUCCCGGGUCUUGUACACACCGCCCGUCACACCAUGGGAGUUGGAAAUGCCCGAAGUCAGUGACCGAACCGAAAGGAAGGAGCUGCCGAAGGUGGAGCCGAUGACUGGGGUGAAGUCGUAACAAGGUAGC
This 159-nucleotide ribosomal RNA is filed under the name uncultured bacterium. RNAcentral's name for it is "partial 16S ribosomal RNA". It matches the Rfam family "Bacterial small subunit ribosomal RNA", at positions 1342 to 1500 of the family's 1533-position model. The record is from RNAcentral.